UGAAUAUCUUCAAAGGUACGUGGUUAAGCUUAAGCUGCAAAAGACAACAAACAACGUCGGCUACAUGCAUGCCAAGUAGAACGUAAGGUUUAUAGGGGUUGGUCAAAAAUUUAUGGAAAGGCUUUUUUUUGGCAAACUCGAUCGGCCUUCAAGUCUUCAUCUUCAAGAAAUCUUAUCCAUGAUCGAGAUACCCAUCCAUGCUGGGGCCAGGCCAGGGAACAUAGCUACUGUUGCUAUAUGUCUGUACUAUCACAAACUUUCACAACUAGGUUGGCGGCCCAACCUCCUGCUGCUGUUCAUGCUUCAUAUGAAUGAAUCCUACUUCAACAGCAAUCACAAAGGCGCCAUUUACAACAUCAACUGGAAUGGUUACUUUGCUUAGCUUGAUUGUGACAAACACCAACCAUCAAAUAUGUAAUGAAUCUUUUUUCCAGAGUAACAUGAUUCUGGUAAGUUGGAAGAAACUGAUGAAUGCAACUUUGGAAUAUAAUCAUAUGAAUGCAAGUGAUUAGCUCUAAAGAGACUGAUAUUUCAUAAAUGGUACCAAACUUGUGAGUUUCAAACUUUUGGAUUGAGUUAUGUUGAACAUAUUUGAUCUAUGCCUCCUUUGAGAAUCUUCAUGUGAUUAAGAUUUUGAAUUAGUAUUGAUUUCCAUAGGAUAUCUCACUAAGAGGAUCAUGUACACCAUACAAAGCAAGAGUCGUGUUACACAAAAACUCCGCACUCUACACACCACAACAUGUGAUUUUAUUUUUUUAUUCUCAUAUUUCAU
Molecule: RNA transcript, 772 nt
Organism: Juglans regia (Persian walnut)
Lineage: Eukaryota; Viridiplantae; Streptophyta; Magnoliopsida; Fagales; Juglandaceae
Exons: 3
Source: RefSeq, a predicted model, not a curated record